GUUUAUGUUUAGGGCAUUAGGCCCGUGUGUGUAGCCCAAGCAGAUUAGGCCUUGGGCCAAUCUGAGUUGGGUUUUCAACCCAAAACCCUUAAAGCCCAUUCGGCCCAACCCAAAUUCAAAGCCCAGUUGACUUUGACCUCUGACCAGUUGACUGUUGACUGUUGACUCAGUCAACGGUCAACGGUCAGAGUUGACUUUGACUUUGACCAGUCAACGAUCAACGUUGACUUUUUGAGUUGACUUUUUGGGGUUUCGUUCAGGACCUCUCCUAGGCUAAUUUCAACGUCCUGAACCCGUUUUUGAAGUCCGUUUUCCCAAAUUCAAUCGUUUGAUUAGAGUUUGACCAAAGGUACUCCUUUAUGUGAAUAGGUGAAAUUAUUAACGGUGAUUCUGCUAUACCUUUUUGGUACAGCUUUGCAUCAUCGGUGUACGGACCUACGAACGAGGAUUACGAUAUAAGCUACGAGGCCUUUCCCUACCAGUGAUCCAGUGCUAUACUUCUUCUGCUUCGAUAUCUUUUGUAAUAUAGCACAUCUCUAUCUUAAAUUCUGUUUGUACUCUGUAAUAGACGUAUGCUCUGACAUUAUGCGUUGAUCCUAAUGUUAUUAAUUAGAAGUUGAUUUUGUAGUAUUA
Molecule: long non-coding RNA, 633 nt
Organism: Malus domestica (apple)
Lineage: Eukaryota; Viridiplantae; Streptophyta; Magnoliopsida; Rosales; Rosaceae
Source: RefSeq, a predicted model, not a curated record